This 380-nucleotide ribosomal RNA is filed under the name uncultured eukaryote. RNAcentral describes it as "partial 18S ribosomal RNA". It matches the Rfam family "Eukaryotic small subunit ribosomal RNA", at positions 592 to 976 of the family's 1831-position model. The record is from RNAcentral.
CAAUAGCGUAUAUUAAAGUUGUUGCGGUUAAAAAGCUCGUAGUUGGAUUUCUUCCAGGGGCAGUCGGUCCACACUACGUGUGCGUAUCUGAUUUGACUUUGGAAUCCUCUUGGGGAACAUCUCUGCGCUUAACUGCGUGGAGUGGUAUUCAAGACUUUUACUUUGAGGAAAUUAGAGUGUUCACGGCAGGCAAUCGCCCUGAAUACAUUAGCAUGGAAUAAUAAUAUAGGAUUUCGGUUCUAUUUUGUUGGUUUCUAGAGCUGAGAUAAUGAUUAAUAGGGACACUUGGGGGCAUUCGUAUUAUCACGUCAGAGGUGGAAUUCUUGGAUUGUGUUACGACGAACUACUGCGAAAGCAUUUGCCAAGGAUGUUUUCAUUGA